RNAcentral lists this transfer RNA (77 nucleotides) under Hyphomicrobiales bacterium. Its description in RNAcentral is "Rhizobiales bacterium (beach sand metagenome) tRNA-Leu". It matches the Rfam family "tRNA". From Rfam's summary of the family: Transfer RNA (tRNA) molecules are approximately 80 nucleotides in length. Their secondary structure includes four short double-helical elements and three loops (D, anti-codon, and T loops). The record is from RNAcentral. Lineage: Bacteria; Pseudomonadati; Pseudomonadota; Alphaproteobacteria; Hyphomicrobiales.
GCGUCUGUAGCCCAAUCGGUAGAGGCAUCGGGGUUAAAUCCCGUGAAGUCUGAGUUCGAAUCUCAGCAGGCGCACCA